This 266-nucleotide ribosomal RNA is filed under the name Clostridioides difficile. RNAcentral describes it as "partial 16S ribosomal RNA". It matches the Rfam family "Bacterial small subunit ribosomal RNA", at positions 217 to 500 of the family's 1533-position model. Lineage: Bacteria; Bacillati; Bacillota; Clostridia; Peptostreptococcales; Peptostreptococcaceae. The record is from RNAcentral.
AGUACAGGAUGGACCCGCGUCUGAUUAGCUAGUUGGUAAGGUAACGGCUUACCAAGGCGACGAUCAGUAGCCGACCUGAGAGGGUGAUCGGCCACAUUGGAACUGAGACACGGUCCAAACUCCUACGGGAGGCCGCAGUGGGGAAUAUUGCACAAUGGGCGAAAGCCUGAUGCAGCAACGCCGCGUGAGUGAUGAAGGCCUUCGGGUCGUAAAACUCUGUCCUCAAGGAAGAUAAUGACGGGACUUGAGGAGGAAGCCCCGGCUAA